RNAcentral lists this long non-coding RNA (4872 nucleotides) under Sus scrofa (pig). RNAcentral describes it as "lncRNA (ENSSSCG00000061354.1)". Lineage: Eukaryota; Metazoa; Chordata; Mammalia; Artiodactyla; Suidae. The record is from RNAcentral.
CAGUUCUGAUAUGCAGAUAAAGGCCCCAUGCUCUCUGAGCUUGAUGCCAUCAAACCAUCAAACAUGAAGUCAGACCAACUCUUUGGAUCAUCUGUAACUUAACCGCAGGGAGAGGAAGUGCAAACCAGAUGGAUGUGAGCAGCUGGUACUUGCAUUUCUCACAGGACAUUAGCAAAUUGGUGCCUUUGUGAUGCCAAGUUCUCCUGUGAGCUUUGUUAGCCCAACUCAACCUUGGGAACAUCAGGAUGUGAGGAUGGUCAUGCAUCAUAAUUGCAAGCAUUACUUUUCUGUUUGGGAAAGGAUAUUAACCCUCAGAGAUCUGGAAUACUGCAAACAAUUGGCAAUGUCAAUUCCUUCCAUUUUUAGGAGUACUAACUGUCUGUGGGGCUGAGACCAAAUGUCUGGCCCUCCAUAGCUCUGCUUCUUCACCUGAAAUGGUAGUAACAGUUCCUUCACUGCCUGUGGCUCCAUCUCUGCAGUGGUUUUCAGCCUCUAGAGAAGCACAAACUCAACAUGUGAUGACUCCAAAGUUCAAAUGUAUGAUGACUCCAAAAGCUCUUAUCUUUGUUAAAUGUCACACCCUUCAUGCCACAGUCAGCAAAACCAGUCAAAUCAUCAGAUUCUACCACAUCAAAUAAAACACUUCCCAUUGGAGACAUUGACCCCUACUAAUACUGUGUUUCCUUAGGAGAGAUAUUCUGUUAAGUGGUAAAGCAUAUUGUUUAGAAAGGCAGUCAUUCAAAGCUCAUGCUUCUUUUCCUAAACAGGUUAUUCCCAAAGAGAUAAUAUAGGAUUUCAGAAAAUUUAACAAAGGAAGCAAGUAUUAGGUAUUUACAAAGAGAACUGAGCACACUCUCAGCAAUUCCCAUGUGAGUAGAAGCCAGAUGCCUUGAAGACAUUUCAUAAGUAACUCAUUGCAUCAAAAUGAGAGGUUGAGUCAUUGUUAGUUCCUCAGAGAAUCAAAACCCAUCAUCUCCCCACCCAACACCAAAGCCCAUAUCCUCCGCCCAUAGCCCAUCUCUUCCAGAGAAUGGCCCCAGCUGUCCCAGAGGGAAGGCUGGGAGCCACCCUGGAUGCAGCCCUGUAGGAAACAAGUUGGAUCCUAAUCAUUCCCCUGUUCUAUCCAUCCCCUCCCACAUCCCCCCACCUCUUCCUACAAUCAUCUCACCACCACUUUGCCAUCUCCUAAUUACUUCCGUCCAUCACUUGUUUGCAAGUCUAUCUCCCUCACCACAUGAGUUCCUCCUUAUUCCCACCCAUCACACCCCCAACCUCAUAGUGCCUGGAGAACAUUUACCAUGCAAGACAAUUCCAAGACAAGUUCAAUAAAACUUAUCUGACUCACUUCUGCACCUCAGGUCCAUACUUCUAUGGUUUUAGAGUGAGAAUCCAACUACAUCUUUACUGAUUCCCUCAGAGCUUUGGGCAAUACUGAAUGCCUGCUGUGCCUGUAAUCUGCCUCCUACCCCAUCUUUAUCUCUUCCUAGACCCUCCUUGAGGUAUUUUGAUUCCUAACCACCUGCAGUUCUUCAAAGAUAUACCAGAUAUGGCAAAGCCAAGGUGAAGAGAGAGACAGUCCACACUGCAUGAAUGAGAGAUGGGUAGAGGGUAGGAAAGAGCCUUGAAAGACAGGCAGAAAGGAACACACUUCUUUCUGUUUGCAAUCAGAUCCCAUUUUAAGGCUUAGUCAUUCACAAGCAUUUACUGAGCUCCUAGUCUGUGCCAGGACAAGGGCUAGGAGGUGAGUGAUAAGCUGUGUCUUUCCCUCUAAGGGAUCAACAUAGGGUAGAUGGUGAAUUGGAAGCAGUAACACAAUAAAGUGACACAGAAUGUUGGGGACUUAAAUUAGGGGAAAUUAAGUCUGCAUUGGGAUUGGGGAGGCACUCAAAGAGGUCCUUUCAUAGGAAAUGCCGUUGGAAUUGUGCGCAAAAUGAUGUGGAGGCAGAGGAUGGACGGUGCCCUGUGGGGCUUCAAUACCUAGGAGGCUGUUUGAGGCAUAUUCAGGAUAGAGCAAGUACAAGGACAAGAAGAAAAUCCCUCCUUAUUGAACACUUUUCUGGCUUAGGUUCUUCCAUGAAAAAGGCAUCAUGAAAUUCUGUGGGAAAAAAUGUCCUACAGUGAGAUUCCAAUUAACAGUUACAGACCUGAAAACACCCACCCAAGCACUUCUUUAAUACUCUCCAAGCUCCAAGCUUCUCAAUGUGAGCCACUGUCUUUUUUUUUUUUUUUUUUUUUUUUUUUUGUCUUUUUGCCUUUUCUUGAGCCGCUCCCGCGGCAUAUGGAGGUUCCCAGGCCAGGGGUCUAAUUGGAGCUGUAGCCGCCAGCCUACACCAGAGCCACAGCAACAUGGGAUCUGAGCCACGUCUGUGACCUACACCACAGCUCACGGCAAUGCUGGAUCCUUAACCCGCUGAGCACGGGCAGGGUUCAAACCCACAACCUCAUGAUUCCUAGUCGGAUUCGUUAACCACUGCGCCACGACAGGAACUCCCAAUUUGACCUGGGAAGCCUAAUUUUGACAAUGGGUCCCUGAAUGAUUCCAUGGAGUAGGCCUCCCAUGCCCGCCCCUCCGUCACUGAUCAGACCCUCAAUGUGGCAGAAAUAAAUGUUAGUUGUGAUAAGCCACAGAAAGAGCAGAGCUUUCAAUAAGCAUGCAUAACUGCUGCUCUGCAUAAGUGCAAUUUUUGAAGAGACAGUCCAUGACAUUAUUAGAUUUUCCAAAAGGGUCAGUUUUCCCCAAAAUGCCAAGAUUCACUGUCUUACAUCAUCUCAUUUAACCAUGUGAGUUAAACAUUACUGAGGCUCAGUGAUUUAAAGUUUACUGAGCCAGUUCAUUUAUUGACUCGCUCAGCACAUAUUUACUGAACACUCUUUCUGCUCCCAACACCUUCUGUGCUGUUGGAACAUGCUGGAAAGCAAGAUGGUCCCGUCCUUGUGGAGGUGUGCAGGAAAGGAACCAGUGCUGGGGGGGGCCUCUAACUGGGGAGUGUGCCUACUCUGGGGGUAAGGGAAGGCCCAUGGAAAGGGAGAAAUAGCUGUGAACUAGACCCAUUUGGGCUGGAAGGGCACUGCCUGCCAAGGGAGGGGCCUACUUGGAUGCCUGGCAGGAGGACAGCAGCCAGGCCAUCAGGAAGCCAAGAGGCUCUGUGCAGAGGCCUGGAGCUCUAGGGAAGGGCAGAGAGUCAGGGAGGUGGCACAGCUGGGCCAUGGGGCAUGUAAUGGGGCCCAUGCUUACCGAGAGGCAGAAACCAUGCAGGAGGGUCCUCUCACCCAAGGCUAGUGCCAUCGUUUCAACAAUUCACUCAACAAACAAGCUGUGAGCCCUUCAAAUCCCAGCAAGCGGUCAGUGAAGGCACUGUCCCAGUGACCCUGUCAUCUCCUACCCCAGGGCCAGCCUGUCCUAGAGGACAGCCCCAAAGUGACUCAUCAGCACAUCUUUGGUGCAAUAGGAACAGAUGAAACAGCCAGAAUUUAAUUCAUAAUUGGUACUUUUUAUUUCCAUUUUCUUGAUCAUGGAGUUCAUGCAACCAGCCUUUUGGAGUGUCUGUCUAAAUGUCAGGGCUCACGCUCAGCUGCUUUGAUGUCUCAAUGCCUGUUUGAAAUGGAAAAUUGUCACAUUAAGAAGAUUAUGCAGAAUCCAUUUGUCACCACCAUUUUCCCAUGGCAGUGAUGUCUGCUUACCACCUGCCAUUAAAGUCGUACUGUAAAAGGCAAAAGGAAUGGAGACAAGUUAAGAUGCCAGAAACAUUCCAUGGUGGCAGGAAAUUUAAACAAGGGAGUAGAAUCCAGUUUUGGGGUGUUUGGGGGAGGAGUUUUGGCUGCACCCGUGGCAUGGGAAAUUCCCAGGGCAGGGAUCCAACUCAUGCCACAACAGCAACCCACACCACUGCAGUGACAACAUUGGAUCCUUAACUCUCUGAGCCACAAGGGAAAUCCCAGGAGCAAGGUCCAGUUUUUAAAUCAAAAAUACAACAGGCUUCAAACCCUGCCACGAUAUCUUCCCAAAAAGAGGUUCUGGAGAGAGAAUCAAGUCACCUGAACUCCAGCACCCUCACCAAGUUACUGGUUGGUCAACGCAGUUUACCUGGUGCCUACUCUUGCCUGCUCUGCAAUGAGAGGCACUGUAUAAAUAGCAGGGAUUUUCAGUCAACCAGAAUCUGAAUUAAUGCAAUGAAGUUGUCAAUGAAACUAUCUAGUAACAACGAUAAAAGGCAAAUUUGAAAGCUGUCCCCAAAGAGCCAAUAAGUAAGCAGAUCAGGUCAGAGUUUGUGAGGCAAGGACCUGGACCCAGCCGUGUGAUCCUAUCAUGCUGUCCCAGAAAGCUAAGCCCAGCACUGACAUGUGGGUGUCACAGACUCAGGACACCUGGUUAUCCAUAUGGAAAAAUGAACUUGGAUUGCUCCUGAACACUUGACUGAAAUAGCUAUGCCAGGUGGAUUAAAGAUGUAAAUGUGAAGAGGAGACUAUAAAAUACUUAAAAAGAUACAGAAGAUUGUCUUAUAACUUUAGGAUAGGAAAGGACUUCUGAAGCAAAACAUAAAAUACACAAACCAUAAAAGAAGGAUGGAUAAUUUUAACUACAUUAAACCCAAGAACAUCUGCACAUCAUAUGAGAUCACAAAGAGAGAGAAAAUGCAUCAUAACUGGGAAAAUAUGCUCUAAACAUGUAUAACUGAAUUAUCAACCAGCACAUACAAAGAAUUCUUCUGUCUUAAUAAGGAGAAGGCUAACAAGCCAAAGAACAUGGGCAAAAUAGGAGUUCCCUGAUGGCCCAGCAGGUUAAGGAUUCGGUAUUUUCACUUCUAUGGCUCUGGUCACUGCUGUGUCAAGGGCUCAAUUCCAGGCCCAGGAAAUUCCACAUGCUGUGGGUAC